This 497-nucleotide ribosomal RNA is filed under the name uncultured bacterium. RNAcentral's name for it is "partial 16S ribosomal RNA". It matches the Rfam family "Bacterial small subunit ribosomal RNA", at positions 28 to 507 of the family's 1533-position model. The record is from RNAcentral.
GAUGAACGCUGGCGGCGUGCCUAAUACAUGCAAGUCGAGCGAACGGACGAGAAGCUUGCUUCUCUGAUGUUAGCGGCGGACGGGUGAGUAACACGUGGAUAACCUACCUAUAAGACUGGGAUAACUUCGGGAAACCGGAGCUAAUACCGGAUAAUAUUUUGAACCGCAUGGUUCAAAAGUGAAAGACGGUCUUGCUGUCGCUUAUAGAUGGAUCCGCGCUGCAUUAGCUAGUUGGUAAGGUAACGGCUUACCAAGGCAACGAUGCAUAGCCGACCUGAGAGGGUGAUCGGCCUCACUGGAACUGAGACACGGUCCAGACUCCUACGGGAGGCAGCAGUAGGGAAUCUUCCGCAAUGGGCGAAAGCCUGACGGAGCAACGCCGCGUGAGUGAUGAAGGUCUUCGGAUCGUAAAACUCUGUUAUUAGGGAAGAACAUAUGUGUAAGUAACUGUGCACAUCUUGACGGUACCUAAUCAGAAAGCCACGGCUAACUACGUG